UAACCGGAUUAGAUACCCUGGUAGUCCACGCCGUAAACGAUGAUAACUAGCUGUCCGGGGACUUGGUCUUUGGGUGGCGCAGCUAACGCAUUAAGUUAUCCGCCUGGGGAGUACGGCCGCAAGGUUAAAACUCAAAUGAAUUGACGGGGGCCUGCACAAGCGGUGGAGCACGUGGUUUAAUUCGAAGCAACGCGCAGAACCUUGCCAGCGUUUGACAUGUCCGGACGAUUUCCAGAGAUGGAUCUCUUCCCAUCGGGGACUGGAACACAGGUGCUGCAUGGCUGUCGUCAGCUCGUGUCGUGAGAUGUUGGGUUAAGUCCCGCAACGAGCGCAACCCUCGCCUUUAGUUACCAUCAUUUAGUUGGGGACUCUAAAGGAACCGCCGGUGAUAAGCCGGAGGAAGGUGGGGAUGACGUA
Molecule: ribosomal RNA, 417 nt
Filed under: uncultured bacterium
Lineage: Bacteria
Description: bacterial SSU rRNA
Rfam family: Bacterial small subunit ribosomal RNA
Source: RNAcentral